Triticum dicoccoides is the source of this 674-nucleotide long non-coding RNA. RefSeq lists it as uncharacterized. The record is from RefSeq and is a predicted model, not a curated record. The transcript has 2 exons. Lineage: Eukaryota; Viridiplantae; Streptophyta; Magnoliopsida; Poales; Poaceae.
UAUUACCUUCUAGUAACCUUAAGUUAGAGUACAUCGCCCCUUCCCUUGCAAAACCACCAGCAUCAGGCAAGCAGAGCAAAUGGCGUCGACCUCUCGGCGUAUGGUUGCGUCCGUUCUCUUCGUCGUUCUCCUCCUCGUCGCGACAGAGAUGGGGGCGACGAAGGGUGGCGGAGGCGAGGCACGGGCACAGCCUCUGCGAGUCGCAGAGCCACAGGUACCGCGGAGCGUGCUAGAGGGUUUGAUGCUAAAAGUUGGCAUGCCAAAUUUUGGCAAGUACCAAAUGUUGGCUAGAGAUUGGUUGCUUGCCAAUUUUCACUGCCAAUCUCACAAAAGAUUGCUAAUUGUUGGCAACUUUUGAUUUUGCUAAAUGUUGGCUUGCCAAAUAUUGACAAUACUAAAUGUUGGUAGCAAACCAAUUAUACUCGAGAACUGCGCGCACGUCUGCAACACUGAGGGCUUCCCCUCGGGCAAGUGCAAGUUCCACGGCUUCGAAAGCAAGUGCUUCUGCAAGAAACCCUGCUAGCCACUUCAUCGGCCGAUGGAUCGGCUGGCUAGUUAGCCGCGCACCACGACCGCCCUCCUGUCUUCAGAGUGUUCCUCCCCUGUUCGUGUACCGCUUUCCUUAUUCCGAAUCUAGUAAGGUCUACAUGCGUUGUGCAUGCCAUUUCCUUUUU